UAAGACCUGUGAAAUACUAAUCCACAUCUCAUGAAUGCAACUCAAGCACUUUUAUUAAGCUAAAGCCU
Molecule: transfer RNA, 68 nt
Filed under: Anolis coelestinus (Hispaniolan green anole)
Lineage: Eukaryota; Metazoa; Chordata; Lepidosauria; Squamata; Anolidae
Description: tRNA-Ala
Source: RNAcentral